UUGUGCCGAACCCGUAGAAUCGAACUUGUGGUCAAUUUAUCACAAGCUCGGAUGUACGGGCACGGGACGGGA
This is a non-coding RNA of Cordylochernes scorpioides, 72 nucleotides long. The record is from the annotation of a GenBank genome assembly. Lineage: Eukaryota; Metazoa; Arthropoda; Arachnida; Pseudoscorpiones; Chernetidae.